Molecule: ribosomal RNA, 247 nt
Filed under: uncultured bacterium
Lineage: Bacteria
Description: partial 16S ribosomal RNA
Rfam family: Bacterial small subunit ribosomal RNA
Source: RNAcentral
UGAGUAAUGUCUGGGAAACUGCCUGAUGGAGGGGGAUAACUACUGGAAACGGUAGCUAAUACCGCNUAACGUCGCAAGACCAAAGAGGGGGGACCUUCGGGCCUCUUGCCAUCGGAUGUGCCCAGAUGGGAUUAGCUAGUAGGUGGGGUAACGGGCUCACCUAGGCGACGAUCCCUAGCUGGUCUGAGAGGAUGACCAGCCACACUGGAACUGAGACACGGUCCAGACUCCUACGGGAGGCAGCAUG